AAAUUGAAUGAGUACAAUUUAAAUCCUUUAACGAGGAUCAACUGGAGGGCAAGUCUGGUGCCAGCAGCCGCGGUAACUCCAGCUCCAGAAGCGUAUAUUAAAGUUGUUGCAGUUAAAAAGCUCGUAGUUGGAUCUGGGUCGCAUGGCUACAUGCCGUCGCUCGUGGGUCUGGCCUGGUUACUGCCGGGUUGAGCUUGCGAGUCGGUCUCGUGGUUGUGCUUCCUUUCUGCUGUGUCUGUUUACAGGUGUCAGCGUGACUGGUGGGCUUGCCUGCUAGUCUGUUGGCAUGCUUCUUGGUGCCUUUAAUCGGGUGUCGGAGGCGGACAGCACGUUUACUUUGAACAAAUUUGAGUGCUCAAAGCAGGCCUUUGUGCCUGAAAAUUCUUGCAUGGAAUAAUGGAAUAGGACUUCGGUUCUAUUUUGUUGGUUUUCGGAUCCGAAGUAAUGGUUAAGAGGGACAGACGGGGGCAUUUGUAUGGCGGUGUUAGAGGUGAAAUUCUUGGAUCGCCGCCAGACAAA
This 519-nucleotide ribosomal RNA is filed under the name Fasciola hepatica (liver fluke). RNAcentral's name for it is "SSU rRNA". It matches the Rfam family "Eukaryotic small subunit ribosomal RNA", at positions 507 to 939 of the family's 1831-position model. The record is from RNAcentral. Lineage: Eukaryota; Metazoa; Platyhelminthes; Trematoda; Plagiorchiida; Fasciolidae.